AGAGUAGGACGAAUGGCCGCCCGGCACUCAACUUUAAGGGGGUAUGGGGGUAGGCGUGGUAUUUUCCUACACAGGUGAGGUAAGCAAGAUUUCCUGUCCCUUCUUAAAGUUGAGUGCCGGGAGGAAAGUCCGGGCUCCACAGGACAAGGUGCUGGGUAACGCCCAGUCCCGGUGACGGGAAGGAAAGUGCCACAGAAAGGAGACCGCCAGGCACUAAACUUUUGGAAAGUGCCACAUUUUGCCGUGAUUCUCUCCGAUUACGUAACUGGGGGAGGAAACGGCAAGAUCCUUCUGAGAGUUUAGUGCCUGGUAAGGGUGAAAGGGUGAGGUAAGAGCUCACCAGUCCCGCCGGUGACGGCGGGAGCUAGGCAAACCCCACCUGGAGCAAGACCAAAUAGGGGAGCGCCUGAGGGUGGUCCGCCCGAGCUCCCGGGUAGGUCGCUUGAGCCCAUCGGUAACGGUGGGCCUAGAUGAAUGGCCAUUGCCCGGC
This 490-nucleotide RNase P RNA is filed under the name Deltaproteobacteria bacterium. Its description in RNAcentral is "partial RNase P RNA component class A". It matches the Rfam family "Bacterial RNase P class A", at positions 2 to 327 of the family's 367-position model. From Rfam's summary of the family: Ribonuclease P (RNase P) is a ubiquitous endoribonuclease, found in archaea, bacteria and eukarya as well as chloroplasts and mitochondria. Lineage: Bacteria; Pseudomonadati; Myxococcota; Myxococcia. The record is from RNAcentral.